This is a long non-coding RNA of Juglans regia (Persian walnut), 167 nucleotides long. RefSeq lists it as uncharacterized. Lineage: Eukaryota; Viridiplantae; Streptophyta; Magnoliopsida; Fagales; Juglandaceae. The record is from RefSeq and is a predicted model, not a curated record. The transcript has 3 exons.
CUUUGCGCUAAUGAUGUCUCAAAUGGAGGGAGGUUGUCGAGUUAUACCAUAACAGAUCUCUUUCUUCAGAAGAACCUGAUCCGUGAGCCAACGGCUUUUCUAAUAGAUGUUUUGAAGCCAAAUCUUCCUGAACAUAGUUUCCUUCAAACAAAGGUCCUGGAAAUCAA